GUGAAUCAUCGAAUCUUUGAACGCACAUUGCGCCCUUUGGUAUUCCGAAGGGCAUGCCUGUUCGAGCGUCAUUAUCAACCCUCAAGCCUGGCUUGCUGUUGGACCAUUCGUCGGUAUCAGACGGGUCUCAAAGAUAAUGACAGAGUCGUGUUGGACCCUAGAUGCAACGAGCUUUCAUAGCACGCAUUGAAGUGGCCGGGCACUCUUGUCUCAACCCUCAUUUUACAAGGUUGACCUCGGAUCAGGUAGGAAUACCCGCUGAACUUAAGCAUAUCAAUAAGCGGAGGA
Molecule: unclassified non-coding RNA, 288 nt
Filed under: Chaetothyriales sp.
Lineage: Eukaryota; Fungi; Ascomycota; Eurotiomycetes; Chaetothyriales
Description: partial contains 5.8S ribosomal RNA, internal transcribed spacer 2, and large subunit ribosomal RNA
Rfam family: 5.8S ribosomal RNA (bases 1-71)
Source: RNAcentral